RNAcentral lists this non-coding RNA (804 nucleotides) under Pongo abelii (Sumatran orangutan). The record is from RNAcentral. Lineage: Eukaryota; Metazoa; Chordata; Mammalia; Primates; Hominidae.
AGGGAUAGCUGGUGUGCGUGCAGGAGAACUGGCGCUAACUGCCCUAGAUAUGGAGGCCCGCGGACUGGACGUGAGAGGCGGGCAGGGGCAGUUGGGGCAGCUGCCCCUACAACACUCAAGAAUUGGAACAGGAAAGAGUGUGGGGGUAGGGGACGGGGACUCUUUGUCUGCAGUUGGAAUGCGCGGAGGGGCAUGGUGGAAUGUGUCGCGUCCCGGGACCGGACGAUAGGAGGCAUGUUCUGCGCUAGCACCGUGACUUUGUUCCCAGCGUGGGGACUGUGGGAGAGAUGGAGAGAGACUGGUACAGAAAUGGUGAGACAAGGAGAGAGCCAUAAAGAGGAAGACAGAGAGAAAGAAGACAAAUGCAUAAAGAGGUUCAGAGACGUGUGACUAUGGAGAUCGAAGGCCUGGUUUUAGGGCUAGCGAACACCUUCUCGCUUUGGUUUUGGUCCACAGAAGACUGGUGAUACAGACUCCUUAUCAGUGUAAUUGUGGGGACUGGUCACCAGCUCUUGCUUGAGCUUUUCCAGAAGAAACUUCACUACUGAAAUAUUCCAAGAGGACUUGAUGCUGCCACAAAGAGAAGAGAAUGAAUAAAGUUGUCGGCUUUGUAAGAGCCAGACAAACAGAGAUACCCAGCACUGAUCAACUUUGUGGCAAAUCCCUCCAUGGCCUAAGAAGGCGCAGCAGCAGCAUCUGGCCUCGCUGCCACUGGGAGGGGAGAAGAGAAUGGUGGCACUGAAGGACAUGGCGGAUGGGGCAGUAACAACCACGCUUACACUGCUGGGCCGCUCCAACAGGUAG